GCCUGAAUAGCUCAAUUGGUAGAGCAUGUGACUCAAUCUCCAGGUUUUGAGUUCAAGCCUCAAUUUUGGGCU
Molecule: transfer RNA, 72 nt
Filed under: Mustela putorius furo (domestic ferret)
Lineage: Eukaryota; Metazoa; Chordata; Mammalia; Carnivora; Mustelidae
Rfam family: tRNA
About the family: Transfer RNA (tRNA) molecules are approximately 80 nucleotides in length. Their secondary structure includes four short double-helical elements and three loops (D, anti-codon, and T loops). Further hydrogen bonds mediate the characteristic L-shaped molecular structure. tRNAs have two regions of fundamental functional importance: the anti-codon, which is responsible for specific mRNA codon recognition, and the 3' end, to which the tRNAs corresponding amino acid is attached (by aminoacyl-tRNA synthetases). tRNAs cope with the degeneracy of the genetic code in two manners: having more than one tRNA (with a specific anti-codon) for a particular amino acid; and 'wobble' base-pairing, i.e. permitting non-standard base-pairing at the 3rd anti-codon position.
Source: Rfam by way of RNAcentral